UACGUAGGGGGCGAGCGUUGUCCGGAUUUAUUGGGCGUAAAGAGCUCGUAGGCGGUUCGAUAAGUCGGAUGUGAAAUCUCCACGCUCAACGUGGAGGGGCCAUUCGAUACUGUCGUGACUCGAGUCCGGUAGGGGAGUGUGGAAUUCCCGGUGUAGCGGUGAAAUGCGCAGAGAUCGGGAGGAACACCCGUAGCGAAGGCGGCACUCUGGGCCGGUACUGAC
RNAcentral lists this ribosomal RNA (222 nucleotides) under uncultured bacterium. RNAcentral describes it as "partial 16S ribosomal RNA". It matches the Rfam family "Bacterial small subunit ribosomal RNA", at positions 524 to 744 of the family's 1533-position model. The record is from RNAcentral.